RNAcentral lists this ribosomal RNA (253 nucleotides) under uncultured bacterium. Its description in RNAcentral is "partial 16S ribosomal RNA". It matches the Rfam family "Bacterial small subunit ribosomal RNA", at positions 524 to 776 of the family's 1533-position model. The record is from RNAcentral.
UACGUAGGGGGCUAGCGUUGUCCGGAAUCAUUGGGCGUAAAGCGCGCGUAGGCGGCCAGAUAAGUCCGGCGUGAAAGCCACAGGCUCAACCUGUGAAUGCCGCUGGAAACUGGCUGGCUAGAGUCCGGGAGGGGCGAGUGGAAUUCCUGGUGUAGCGGUGGAAUGCGCAGAUAUCAGGAGGAACACCGGUGGCGAAGGCGGGUCUCUGGGCAGUAACUGACGCUGAGGAGCGAAAGCGUGGGGAGCGAACAGG